GGGCAGCAGUACUUUUCGGAGUAGCUGGCGACCGGCGCACGGGUGCGUAACGCGUAUGCAAUCUACCUACAGCAGAGGGAUAGCCCGUGGAAACAUGGAUUAAUACCUCAUAAUACAGGGGGCCCACCUGGGCAUAUUGUUAAAGAUUUAUCGGCUGUAGAUGAGCAUGCGUCCCAUUAGCUAGUUGGUACGGUAACGGCGUACCAAGGCGAUGAUGGGUAGGGGUUCUGAGAGGAUGAUCCCCCACACUGGUACUGAGAUACGGACCAGACUCCUACGGGAGGCAGCAGUAGGGAAUAUUGGUCAAUGGACGAGAGUCUGAACCAGCCAUGCCGCGUGCAGGAAGACGGCCUUCUGGGUUGUAAACUGCUUUUCUCAGGGAAGAAAAUGGUCUUGCGAGACAAAUUGCCGGUACCUGAGGAAUAAGCACCGGCUAACUCCGUGCCAGCAGCCGCGGUAAUACGGAGGGUGCGAGCGUUGUCCGGAUUUAUUGGGUUUAAAGGGUGCGUAGGCGGCCUAUUAAGUCAGUGGUGAAAGGUAUCAGCUUAACUGAUGAUGUGCCAUUGAAACUGACAGGCUUGAGUACAGACGAGGUAGGCGGAAUUUAUGGUGUAGCGGUGAAAUGCAUAGAUACCAUAAAGAACACCGAUAGCGAAGGCAGCUUACUAGGCUGAGACUGACGCUGAGGCACGAAAGCGUGGGGAGCGAACAGGAUUAGAUACCCUGGUAGUCCACGCUGUAAACGAUGAUUACUGGAUGUGUGCGAUAAACAGUACGCGUCUGAGCGAAAGCGUUAAGUAA
RNAcentral lists this ribosomal RNA (801 nucleotides) under uncultured bacterium. RNAcentral describes it as "bacterial SSU rRNA". It matches the Rfam family "Bacterial small subunit ribosomal RNA", at positions 67 to 867 of the family's 1533-position model. The record is from RNAcentral.